UACAGAGGGUGCGAGCGUUAAUCGGAAUUAAUGGGCGUAAAGCGCACGUAGGUGGCGACGUAAGUCGGGUGUGAAAGCCCCGGGCUCAACCUGGGAAUUGCAAUCGAGACUGCAUUGCUGGAGUACGGAAGAGGAGGGCGGAAUUCCCGGUGUAGCGGUGAAAUGCGUAGAUAUCGGGAGGAACAUCAGUGGCGAAGGCGGCCCUCUGGUCCAGUACUGACACUCAAGUGCGAAAGCGUGGGGAUCAAACAGG
This 253-nucleotide ribosomal RNA is filed under the name uncultured bacterium. Its description in RNAcentral is "partial 16S ribosomal RNA". It matches the Rfam family "Bacterial small subunit ribosomal RNA", at positions 524 to 776 of the family's 1533-position model. The record is from RNAcentral.